UACGUAGGUGGCGAGCGUUAUCCGGAAUUAUUGGGCGUAAAGGGUGCGUAGGCGGCACACUAAGUCUAAGGUUAAAGUUCGAGGCUCAACUUCGGAUUGCCUUAGAAACUGGUGAGCUAGAGUGCAGGAGAGGGCAAUGGAAUUCCAUGUGUAGCGGUAAAAUGCGUAGAUAUAUGGAGGAACACCAGUGGCGAAGGCGGUUGCCUGGCCUGUAACUGACGCUGAGGCACGAAAGCGUGGGGAGCAAAUAGG
RNAcentral lists this ribosomal RNA (252 nucleotides) under uncultured bacterium. RNAcentral's name for it is "partial 16S ribosomal RNA". It matches the Rfam family "Bacterial small subunit ribosomal RNA", at positions 524 to 776 of the family's 1533-position model. The record is from RNAcentral.